UACGGGGGGGGCAAGCGUUGUUCGGAAUCACUGGGCGUAAAGCGCACGUAGGCGGCUUUUUAAGUCAGGGGUGAAAUCCUGGAGCUCAACUCCAGAACUGCCUUUGAUACUGAGAAGCUUGAGUCCGGGAGAGGUGAGUGGAACUGCGAGUGUAGAGGUGAAAUUCGUAGAUAUUCGCAAGAACACCAGUGGCGAAGGCGGCUCACUGGCCCGGUACUGACGCUGAGGUGCGAAAGCGUGGGGAGCAAACAGG
RNAcentral lists this ribosomal RNA (253 nucleotides) under uncultured bacterium. RNAcentral's name for it is "partial 16S ribosomal RNA". It matches the Rfam family "Bacterial small subunit ribosomal RNA", at positions 524 to 776 of the family's 1533-position model. The record is from RNAcentral.